This is a long non-coding RNA of Apodemus sylvaticus (European woodmouse), 232 nucleotides long. RefSeq lists it as uncharacterized. The record is from RefSeq and is a predicted model, not a curated record. The transcript is spliced from 3 exons. NCBI's taxonomy places the organism in Eukaryota, Metazoa, Chordata, Mammalia, Rodentia, Muridae.
CCAGAGCCAUGGCCUACAGAACAAGAGAGGAGCCUAGGUUAUCUCCAGAGCCAUGGCCUACAGAACAAGAGAGGAGCCUAGGUUAUCUCCAGAGCCAUGGCCUACAGAACAAGAGAGGAGCCUAGGUUAUCACCAGAGCCAUGGCCUACAGAACAAGAGAGGAGCCUAGGUUAUCACCAGAGCCACGGCCUACAGAACAAGAGAGGAGCCUAGGUUAUCUCCAGAGCCAUGG